Myotis lucifugus (little brown bat) is the source of this 45-nucleotide non-coding RNA. The record is from Rfam. Lineage: Eukaryota; Metazoa; Chordata; Mammalia; Chiroptera; Vespertilionidae.
CCAAAGGAUUUUUUAAAAUCCAAUCUCCUUGAGAAAUGAAUGGGG